GCGCACGGGUGCAUAACGCGUAUGCAACCUACCUUCUACAAGAGGAUAGCCCAGAGAAAUUUGGAUUAAUACUCUAUACGAUCAUUAAUUGGCAUCAAUUUAUGAAGAAAACUCCGGUGGUAGAAGAUGGGCAUGCGUCCUAUUAGUUAGUUGGUAAGGUAAUGGCUUACCAAGACUUCGAUAGGUAGGGGUCCUGAGAGGGAGAUCCCCCACACUGGUACUGAGACACGGACCAGACUCCUACGGGAGGCAGCAGUGAGGAAUAUUGGACAAUGGAGGCAACUCUGAUCCAGCCAUGCCGCGUGCAGGAAGACGGCCCUACGGGUUGUAAACUGCUUUUAUACAGGAAGAAUUAUGCCUACGUGUAGGUAUUUGACGGU
This 380-nucleotide ribosomal RNA is filed under the name uncultured Bacteroidota bacterium. RNAcentral describes it as "bacterial SSU rRNA". It matches the Rfam family "Bacterial small subunit ribosomal RNA", at positions 98 to 476 of the family's 1533-position model. Lineage: Bacteria; Pseudomonadati; Bacteroidota. The record is from RNAcentral.